RNAcentral lists this ribosomal RNA (484 nucleotides) under uncultured bacterium. RNAcentral describes it as "partial 16S ribosomal RNA". It matches the Rfam family "Bacterial small subunit ribosomal RNA", at positions 30 to 507 of the family's 1533-position model. The record is from RNAcentral.
AUUGAACGCUGGCGGCAGGCCUAACACAUGCAAGUCGAGCGGAUGAAGGGAGCUUGCUCCUGGAUUCAGCGGCGGACGGGUGAGUAAUGCCUAGGAAUCUGCCUGGUAGUGGGGGAUAACGUCCGGAAACGGGCGCUAAUACCGCAUACGUCCUGAGGGAGAAAGUGGGGGAUCUUCGGACCUCACGCUAUCAGAUGAGCCUAGGUCGGAUUAGCUAGUUGGUGGGGUAAAGGCCUACCAAGGCGACGAUCCGUAACUGGUCUGAGAGGAUGAUCAGUCACGCUGGAACUGAGACACGGUCCAGACUCCUACGGGAGGCAGCAGUGGGGAAUAUUGGACAAUGGGCGAAAGCCUGAUCCAGCCAUGCCGCGUGUGUGAAGAAGGUCUUCGGAUUGUAAAGCACUUUAAGUUGGGAGGAAGGGCAGCAAGUUAAUACCUUGCUGUUUUGACGUUACCAACAGAAUAAGCACCGGCUAACUUCGUG